Molecule: ribosomal RNA, 497 nt
Filed under: uncultured bacterium
Lineage: Bacteria
Description: partial 16S ribosomal RNA
Rfam family: Bacterial small subunit ribosomal RNA
Source: RNAcentral
GAUGAACGCUGGCGGCGUGCCUAAUACAUGCAAGUCGAGCGAACAGACGAGGAGCUUGCUCCUCUGACGUUAGCGGCGGACGGGUGAGUAACACGUGGAUAACCUACCUAUAAGACUGGGAUAACUUCGGGAAACCGGAGCUAAUACCGGAUAAUAUAUUGAACCGCAUGGUUCAAUAGUGAAAGACGGUUUUGCUGUCACUUAUAGAUGGAUCCGCGCCGCAUUAGCUAGUUGGUAAGGUAACGGCUUACCAAGGCAACGAUGCGUAGCCGACCUGAGAGGGUGAUCGUCGACACUGGAACUGAGACACGGUCCAGACUCCGACGGGAGGCAGCAGUAGGGAAUGUUCAGCAAUGGGCGAAAGCCUGACGGAGCAACGCCGCGUGAGUGAUGAAGGUCUCCGGAUCGUAAAACUCUGUUAUUAGGGAAGAACAAAUGUGUAAGUAACUAUGCACGUCUUGACGGUACCUAAUCAGAAAGCCACGGCUAACUACGUG